CAGCCCUAAACGAUGCGCGUUAGGUGUAUCGGUGACCACGAGUCACCGAGGUGCCGAAGGGAAACCGUGAAACGUGCCGCCUGGGAAGUACGGUCGCAAGGCUGAAACUUAAAGGAAUUGGCGGGGGGAGCACCACAACGGGUGGAGCCUGCGGUUUAAUUGGACUCAACGCCGGGAAGCUCACCGGAUAAGACAGCGGAAUGAUUGCCGGGCUGAAGACUCUGCAUGACCAGCUGAGAGGAGGUGCAUGGCGUAGUCGUGU
This 262-nucleotide ribosomal RNA is filed under the name uncultured archaeon. RNAcentral's name for it is "partial 16S ribosomal RNA". It matches the Rfam family "Archaeal small subunit ribosomal RNA", at positions 748 to 1009 of the family's 1478-position model. The record is from RNAcentral.